Molecule: ribosomal RNA, 503 nt
Filed under: uncultured bacterium
Lineage: Bacteria
Description: partial 16S ribosomal RNA
Rfam family: Bacterial small subunit ribosomal RNA
Source: RNAcentral
AUUAAACGCUGGCGGCAUGCCUUACACAUGCAAGUCGAACGGCAGCAUGGGUGCUUGCACCUGAUGGCGAGUGGCGAACGGGUGAGUAAUGCAUCGGAACGUGCCCUUAAGUUUGGGAUAACGCGGCGAAAGUUGCGCUAAUACCGAAUACUACUUUACGAAGGAAAGCAGGGGAUCGCAAGGCCUUGUGCUUUUGGAGCGGCCGAUGUUGGAUUAGCUAGUUGGUGAGGUAAAGGCUUACCAAGGCUACGAUCCAUAGCGGGUCUGAGAGGGUGACCCGCCACACUGGGACUGAGAUACGGCACAGACUCCUCCGGGAGGCAGCGGUGGGGAAUUGUGGACAAUGGGCGAAAGCAUGCUGCAGCCAUGCCGCGUGAGUGAAGAAGGCCUUCGGGUUGUAAAGCUCUUUCGGCAGGGAAUAAAUCGCAUACUCUAACAUAGUGUGUGGAUGACGGUACCUGCAUAAGAAGCACCGGUUAACUACGUGCCAGCCGCCGCGGUAC